CGGAACGUGCCCGAUCGUGGGGGAUAACGGAGCGAAAGCUUUGCUAAUACCGCAUACGAUCUACGGAUGAAAGCAGGGGACCGCAAGGCCUUGCGCGGACGGAGCGGCCGAUGGCAGAUUAGGUAGUUGGUGGGAUAAAAGCUUACCAAGCCGACGAUCUGUAGCUGGUCUGAGAGGACGACCAGCCACACUGGGACUGAGACACGGCCCAGACUCCUACGGGAGGCAGCAGUGGGGAAUUUUGGACAAUGGGCGAAAGCCUGAUCCAGCCAUGCCGCGUGCAGGAUGAAGGCCUUCGGGUUGUAAACUGCUUUCGUACGGAACGAAAAGCCUCUUUCUAAUAAAGAGAGGUCAUGACGGUACCGUAAGAAUAAGCACCGGCUAACUACGUGCCAGCAGCCGCGGUAAUACGUAGGGUGCAAGCGUUAAUCGGAAUUACUGGGCGUAAAGCGUGCGCAGGCGGUGAUGUAAGACAGAUGUGAAAUCCCCGGGCUCAACCUGGGAACUGCAUUUGUGACUGCAUCGCUGGAGUGCGGCAGAGGGGGAUGGAAUUCCGCGU
This 559-nucleotide ribosomal RNA is filed under the name uncultured bacterium. RNAcentral describes it as "bacterial SSU rRNA". It matches the Rfam family "Bacterial small subunit ribosomal RNA", at positions 119 to 674 of the family's 1533-position model. The record is from RNAcentral.